UCUGCAGGGGUGUCACCGCUGCCUCCUCACUAUCCACCAGAACUGCGCCUGCAGCCAUGACUCCCGGCCAGCUUGCCUUAUUUAGUGUCUCUGACAAAACUGGCCUUGUGAAAUUUGCAAGAAACCUAACUUCUCCCAGUUUGAGCCUGGUCGCUUCUGGAGGGACUGCAAUAGCUCUCAGGAAUGCUGGUCUGGCAGUCAGAGAUGUCUCUGAGCUGACCGGAUUUCUUGAAAAGUUGGGAGGACAUGUGAAAACUUUACAUCCUGCAGUCCAUGCUGGAAUCCUGGCUCGUAAUAUCCCAGAAGACAAUACUGACAUGGCCAGAUUUUAUUUCAAUUGUAUCAGAGUUGUGGCCUGCAAUCUCUAUCCCUUUGUGAAGACAGUGGCUUCUUCAGAUGUAACUGUUGAGGAGGCUGUUGAGCAAAUUGAUGUAGGUGGAGUAACCUUACUGAGAGUUGCAGCCAAAAAACACGCGCGAAUGACAGCGGUGUGUGAACCAGAGGAUCAUGCCGCAAUGUCUACAGAGACACAGAGCUCUAAGAGUAAAGACACAACCUUGGAGACCAGACACCAGUUAGCCUUGAAGGCAUUCACUCAUAUGGCACAAUAUAAUAACGGGAUUUCAGAUUACUUCAGGAAAUAAUACAGUAAAGGAAUAUCUCAAAUGCCUCUGAGGUAUGAAAUGAAGCCCCAUCAAACUCCCACCCAGCUGUACACACUGAAGCCCAGGCUUCCCAUCACAGUUCUAAAUGGAGGCCCUGGAUUUAUAAACUUGCGUGAUGCUUUGAAUGCCUGGCAGCUGGUGAAGGAACUCAAAGAGGCACUAGGCAUCCCAGCCUCUGCCUCUUUCAAACAUGUUAGCCCAGCAGGUGCUGCUAUUGGAAUUCCACUCUGUGAAGAUGAGGCCAAAGUCUGCAUAGUCUACGAUCUCUAUAAAACCCUUAUACCCAAACCAACUGCAAGAGCAGGAGGGGCUGAUAGGAAGUCUUCAUUUGAUAAUUUUAUUGCAUUAUCUAAUGUUUGUGAAGUACCAACUGUGAAAAUUAUCUCCAGAGAAGUAUCUGAUGGUAUUAUCAUCCCAGGAUAUGAAGACGAAGCCUUGAAAAUACUUUCCAAAAAGAAAAAUGGGAACAACUGUGUUCUUCAGCUAGAUUGGUCUUACAAACCAGAUGAAAAUGAAAUUUAAACUCUCUUUGGUCUUCGUUUAAGCCAGAAGAGAAAUAAUGGUGUCACUGAUAGGUCAUUAUUUAGCAAUGUUGUUACCAAGAAUAAAGAUUUGUCGGAGUCUGCCCUCCGAGACCUCACUGUAGACCUCAUUGCUGUCAAGUAUACGCAAUCUAACUCCAUGUGUUAUGCCAAGAACGGGCAGGUUAUUGGCAUUGGAGCAGAUACACUGCACAUGCCUUGCAGGGGAUAAGACAAAUUUGGGUGGCUUAGUCACCUUCCAUGAAUGCGUUCAAUGAAGUUUAAAGGAGGCAUGAAGAGAGCAGAAAUCUCCAAUGCCAUCCAUCAGUAUGUGACUGGAACCAUCAAUGAGGAUGAAGAUUUAAUAAAGUGGAAGGCGCUGUUUGAGGAAGUCCCUGAAUUAUUAACAGAGACAGAGAAGCAAACGAAGUGAAGUUUCUGUCAGCUCUGAUGCCUCCUUUCCUUUUAGGGAUAAUGUAGACAGAUAAUGUAAGAGGAGUGGCAUGGCACACACUGCAGCUACUUCCAGGUCUGCUGCUAACAAAGUUGUGAUUGAGGCCUGCAAUGAACUGGGAAUCAUCCUCACUCAUACAAAUCUCCAGCUCUUUCACCACUGA
Molecule: RNA transcript, 1803 nt
Organism: Carlito syrichta (Philippine tarsier)
Lineage: Eukaryota; Metazoa; Chordata; Mammalia; Primates; Tarsiidae
Gene name: bifunctional purine biosynthesis protein PURH-like
Exons: 2
Source: RefSeq, a predicted model, not a curated record